UUACGAAUAAAAUAUUGACAUUUGCCAUCUCCACAUCAUUGCAUUCAGUUUUUAUUCACAAUUUGUGUAGUGUCCCAAAUUUUUUUGGAAUCCGGUUUGUAUUUAGUAUUUGUGUUCAGAACA
Long non-coding RNA from Poecilia latipinna (sailfin molly), 123 nucleotides. RefSeq lists it as uncharacterized. The record is from RefSeq and is a predicted model, not a curated record. Lineage: Eukaryota; Metazoa; Chordata; Actinopteri; Cyprinodontiformes; Poeciliidae. The transcript is spliced from 4 exons.